CAAGGCCGGCAAAGAGGCUCGAGUGUGCGGCUUACACGCAUGAUCCAGAACAUAGUUUCGGACAAGUACUGCAAGGAGGCAUUCUAAAAUCUGCUCAUGAACUUUGGCAAGUGUACCCCUCCUCAAAAUGUGAUUGUGAAUUGUGGGGCAACCCACUGGACAGAGGGUGAAAAAGGAGAUACCAUACCAGUUUCCUGAUCUGAAAGUGGAGAUAAUGAAAGCACCUACUACGUAAGGUCCGUUGUGAGAAUUCAAUGAAGAAGGCAUGCAAAGUCCCUGGGGUAUGGGAAGUUCUCAGUUUCAGCCAUUGCUAUUAUUGGAAGUGACUCCUGUGGUACGUCGGGCCAACCUAAUUAGCACAUGUGAGCUGCACCAGUGACUUCUAGUUGCACCCCAGGUCUACCUACUUGUCCUUUUCCUUCCCAAUCCCCCUCUCAAAGCCUUCGGCCCCCAAAUAUACCCCCGCCCCCAGGAACUUCCACUUCCGCAGCUCCUAAAUGGCUGGGACCUCUGGGCCCUUUGUCAUCUUCUCCAAAAAAGUACAAAGGUUAUCCAUUUAUAAACAAGAAGAAAUCCAAAAGUGAAAAUAUAAAGGAAUUAGGAAUUUCCUCAUCAAUUGUUCAAGAGUAAUUGUUUAAAAGUCAGAGGAAUCAGAAGGAAAGUGGUAGUAAAGAAAAACAAAAUUGAUUAAAGCAGAAGGUAGGAAGGACCAGUCACCAACUUCGAACACAGUCAUCUGAAGAUGUUUUAAAUACCACAUCAGAGCUAAAGAUAAAGGUUUUCUUUACAAAAGCUUUGGUUAAAAGUAGAAGCUAAUUGUCACCUCACAGAAGGCGGGCUCUAACGACUCCAGCGUGACCCGGCCAGGGAGUGCAGCAAAGUUGCCAGGCCUGCAGCCGUGAGGCUGGACUUAUUCAUCAGGCAGAACCUACCUUGGCUGGGGGAGUGGAGGACCCCAGACUGCGAGGACCCCAGACUGCGCGGCAGAAAGAGGGGAAAUGGCUGGGCGCAGGUCCCUGGACACAGGAUCCGAAACCAUGAAGGCAAGCAGGGUCGGACCCAGGAGGCCGACCAGCAGGCUCUGCAAAGCUCCUGGGGCAGGCAGCUGUCCAGAGCCAAGGUCUUGGCCUUUCGUUGCCAGAACCACCUCCAGGAGGCCGUCAGCCUCUGGGGUGUGGCUCCAAGCAUUGUCUAGCAGAAAAAGCAUGGCGUCUGAUGACAGCAAGCAACAGUGUAAAACGGUGAGAACAUUCUGGAAGAAUAUUCUGCUGAGUGCGGAGACCGUAAAAUGUAGAAGAGGGCUCGCUCUCCUUUUUACACUUUAUUGAAGACAACCGUCAGAAGCAGAACUGGAUGUGUGUUCAAGUCUGAAAAUCUACAGGGCAGAAAAAGAGAACCACAGCAUCUUUUAGUGACUACAAACUAAACCUAUAUGGAAUGAAGCCUGAAAGCAGGGGUGGGUAAUGACCCCCAAAAUUGGAGACAGGAGAGGUUUCAAAGUUAAACCUAUGGCUAUGCAAAUAUUUGAGAGGUAUUUUCAUUAAAACAUCUUUUUUUCCCACCAAUACCAUGAAUUAUCUGCUAUUGCUAUAUAUAACCUACAGCAGAGUACAGGAGAGUCACCUAGGGUUGAAGGUUUAAGGCGCCGGGUAUACCGUUUUCAUGGGUGAUAAAUAAGGUUCUCUGAUCCCCAGAGCUAAGAGAAUGGAAAUAAUAGUAGCUAAAGCUAAUUGAGAACUGGAUAUAUUUACUCAUUUAAUCCUUGCAGUGAUCUUAUAAGGUAGGGACUAUUCCCACACCCUUGACAGGUGAGUCCACUGAAGAGCCCAGAGAUUAAGUGACAAGCCUAAGGUCACACAGCUGGU
Long non-coding RNA from Equus quagga, 1865 nucleotides. RefSeq lists it as uncharacterized. The transcript has 3 exons. The record is from RefSeq and is a predicted model, not a curated record. NCBI's taxonomy places the organism in Eukaryota, Metazoa, Chordata, Mammalia, Perissodactyla, Equidae.